UACGUAGGGUGCAAGCGUUAAUCGGAAUUACUGGGCGUAAAGCGUGCGCAGGCGGCCUUGCAAGACAGAUGUGAAAUCCCCGGGCUUAACCUGGGAACUGCAUUUGUGACUGCAUGGCUGGAGUGCGGCAGAGGGGGAUGGAAUUCCGCGUGUAGCAGUGAAAUGCGUAGAUAUGCGGAGGAAUACCGAUGGCGAAGGCAGCCUCCUGGGCCAACACUGACGCUCAUGCACGAAAGCGUGGGGAGCAAACAGG
RNAcentral lists this ribosomal RNA (253 nucleotides) under uncultured bacterium. RNAcentral's name for it is "partial 16S ribosomal RNA". It matches the Rfam family "Bacterial small subunit ribosomal RNA", at positions 524 to 776 of the family's 1533-position model. The record is from RNAcentral.